UACGUAGGGUGCGAGCGUUGUCCGGAAUUACUGGGCGUAAAGAGCUCGUAGGUGGUUUGUCGCGUUGUCCGUGAAAACUCACAACUCAAUUGUGGGCGUGCGGGCGAUACGGGCAGACUUGAGUUCGGUAGGGGAGACUGGAAUUCCUGGUGUAGCGGUGAAAUGCGCAGAUAUCAGGAGGAACACCGGUGGCGAAGGCGGGUCGCUGGGACGGUACUGACGCUGAGACGCGAAAGCGUGGGGAGCGAACAGG
Molecule: ribosomal RNA, 253 nt
Filed under: uncultured bacterium
Lineage: Bacteria
Description: partial 16S ribosomal RNA
Rfam family: Bacterial small subunit ribosomal RNA
Source: RNAcentral